GAACUGCGAUAAGUAAUGUGAAUUGCAGAAUUCAGUGAAUCAUCGAGUCUUUGAACGCACAUUGCGCCCCCUGGCAUUCCGGGGGGCAUGCCUGUCCGAGCGUCAUUGCUGCCCUUCAAGCCCGGCUUGUGUGUUGGGUCGUCGUCCCCUCCGGGGGACGGGCCCGAAAGGCAGCGGCGGCACCGCGUCCGGUCCUCGAGCGUAUGGGGCUUUGUCACCCGCUCGAUAAGGACCGGCCGGGCGCCAGCCGGCGUCUCCAACCUGUUUUUCUCAGGUUGACCUCGGAUCAGGUAGGGAUACCCGCUGAACUUAAGC
This 315-nucleotide unclassified non-coding RNA is filed under the name plant metagenome. RNAcentral's name for it is "partial contains 5.8S ribosomal RNA, internal transcribed spacer 2, and large subunit ribosomal RNA". The stretch from base 1 to 105 matches the Rfam family "5.8S ribosomal RNA", at positions 50 to 154 of the family's 154-position model. The record is from RNAcentral.